RNAcentral lists this unclassified non-coding RNA (760 nucleotides) under Helvella sp. Its description in RNAcentral is "partial contains 18S rRNA, ITS1, 5.8S rRNA, ITS2". The stretch from base 536 to 689 matches the Rfam family "5.8S ribosomal RNA". Lineage: Eukaryota; Fungi; Ascomycota; Pezizomycetes; Pezizales; Helvellaceae. The record is from RNAcentral.
CAUUACUACAAAAGCAACAGCAACUUCAAGUAAAUUGAGAAGGCGUGGGGAAGCCGCCUGCAAGAAUCAGCCCCCCGGUUUCGCCCGGCGGGAGCUGGGAGAGGAAUAGGCUGGAGGGGCGCUGACCACCUGGACGGGCAGAUUGGACCUCGCUCGGCGCGAGCGGGGGCUACUCGCGUCGUGAUGGAAUCCCGCCUCGGGUGGAAGGCGCCCCGCGGUCGGGAACGUCGGAGGAUCGCGCGCGGCGAGGAGCCAACAUGGCGGCCGCCUCUGCCAACCCCACUAGAGGGGAGAUUGGAGCUCGCGCGUCGCUUGAAGACCCGACCCGUGACCACCGUUCCCCGCCGAAACGAUCCCGGCGGACGCCCAGUGGCGAUUCCCGAACCAAACUCUCUGCGUACGAAUCCCCGUUGCUUCCCCGGGCGCCGUCCCGGGGGAGGUCUCAGAGCGAACGAUGCCGCCCAACCGACCAGCUGGCCCUCAGUCUGACGGCCGUCGCGCCAAAGAAGAAGGGAAAAGAAUACAAACAAAGAAAAACUUUCAACAACGGAUCUCUUGGUUCCCGCAUCGAUGAAGAACGCAGCGAAAUGCGAUAAGUAAUGUGAAUUGCAGAAUUCAGUGAAUCAUCGAAUCUUUGAACGCACAUUGCGCCCCCUGGCACUCUGGGGGGCAUGCCUGUUCGAGCGUCUCCAGGAAGAACUCUCGCGCUAGUGGAAGCGCGGUCGUGGCGGCUGUGGCGUGCCCUCGCGGGCUGCCACCC